Arachis duranensis is the source of this 3973-nucleotide long non-coding RNA. RefSeq lists it as uncharacterized. NCBI's taxonomy places the organism in Eukaryota, Viridiplantae, Streptophyta, Magnoliopsida, Fabales, Fabaceae. The record is from RefSeq and is a predicted model, not a curated record. The transcript is spliced from 9 exons.
AUCUCUAACACAGUUGUUGCCAUUUAUCGAAAUCCUCCAUUAUAAGCGGGAGCCACUGAAUAUGGAUAAGGUUAUUCGACUUAUCUGUAAAUAAGUAGCCUCUGAUCAUCAUAAAGGUAUAGUUGCUUGAAUAUUUUUUCAAAGUCUCUACAUCUACCUCAUGUAAAAUAUAUUGCACCCUAUCUCUGAGCCAUGUUAACUUAAUGGCAAAGACUUUCUUUUAAACCUAUGCCCACAUAAAAGCCUGGUGCUGAGAUCACUAUUAAUGCACAAUUCAAGGUGAAAUAUCACAUCUAUCCUACAGCGUGAUGGCACCCUAUGAUAGUUGGAAGAUGUGACAUUUUUCGCUGUCGCCGCCGCCGCAGCCGCUCGCGUCAUACGAGCUCCCUCCACCACCGCUCUCAUCGCGUUUGCUCCCUUCAUCACCAUCGUCGCACGAGGUCUCUCUGCCGUGCUCUUGUCUUACGAGCUCCCUCCGCUACCGCUCUCGUCGCUGCUUCUUCUCUCCUCUCCGGAGGUUCUUCAUCGUCUCUUCUCAUCACUGUUAGUUCAGUUGAAAAUCAAAGAAUACGAUCCACGAGAACUCUUACGGUUGCAAAUCAGCUAUUGCUGCUGCAAAGAACUGAGUUUCUAAAUUCUAAGGUUCUCCGGGAGCUUAACCAUCCCAUUGUAUAUUCUCUAUCUCCUGGAACUAGUGUGACACCAGCAUUAGCCAAGGAUGUCAGUGAGCUAGUAAACAUGUAUCGUAUAACAAGAGAUGACUGGGAUAACUGGGCUGAUAUCAAUUCUCAUUUUGAUGUAUCAAGCCUUCCCAGCCACCUCCUCUCAUACUGUCCAUUACUAUUAUCAAUGGAGCUACUCCCAAAAGAGCUGUAUGUUUGGAUGGAACAUUGCCUGUCUAUCACUUUCAUCCUGGAUCCGGAUCAGGAGCCAAUAGUUGGCUCAAUGACUUAGAGGUACAUUCAAAAAAUAUAUACUUAUAGUGUCUCUGUUUCAAUAACGAGUCUUAAUAUUUCAAUAUGUGUAAGUAAUUUGAAGUGUUGUGCCUAAUUGUCUUGGUUGCAGGGAGGAGGAUGGUGUAAUUAAUUUUUCCUCUGUAAGAUAUUAAAUUAAAAUGAGACUUAACUCACGUUCUACUUUUACAUAAUUAUUCAAUUAAAUAUUUAGAUUUCACAAUUAACUAUUUGUAUAAAUUUUUUUUUAUAGUGUCUGUGUAUAAAAACUAAAUCCAUAUAGAAUAUAAAAAAAAUUAAUGUUAAUCACAAGUUACAAAAUAGAGAAAAAGUUUGAUAAAAUUAAUGAUAUAAUUACCAUAUUAAUUAACUAAACUGGAAUUAUUGUGAAGAAAAACAAUAGUGGUGGCCUAAUAGGUGAAGUGUGGGACUCAACACUAUACAGUCUCUCACCUAUGAUUGGUCUUGGAUUUGGAAGAAGGCCUAGAAAGUAAUAUGAUAAAUUUAACUUGUUUAAACAAAUUUUUCGAGACUAGUUAUUUAUGUAUCAGGUUGUGAAUCCUUAUUACUAGCUUCCAUGGAAUGUUGAAUAAUAAGGGCAAGAGAUUUGAGAGAGUUGAAGGUGUUUGCAUGGAACAAUAUACUUGAUGGUUUGGUAUUAUACUUUGCUUGUAACUAAUAUUAUUAUAUCUUAUCUUAGCUCGUGGCAAUUUGAGAAAUAUUAUCCAAUUCAACUAUAAAUUCACUAGCUAGUGUUGGAAAUAGAAUUCUAAAUUUCUAACACUAAAUUCAAAUUUUGUAAAUUAAGUUUAACUUUUUUUUUAAAUUAACUUACAAUAUUUUUAGAUUUCAUUAAUUUAUAAUGCUAAUAUCAGUGUGUGGUUUGAUUAUUCUGAUUUAGAGACGAUUCACACUGAUUUUAUUGAAGUUGACCAGUUCACUUGUUUCACUAGAUAAUACAAAAAGAAAUCUGAUUUACAUUCAUAUUUCAAAGUACUAGGCAUUGUCUUCAAAACUUCUGACUUGGCGGCUUCUCCAAUUUUUUUGAAAUGCUCUGUCUCAAAACUCAAUCGAUGGAGUUCUUUCAUAAUAUCCGAAGGGUCACUGGAAACGCACUUGAUUUCAGCAUCUUUUACCAGUUCUAUUUUGAGUUUGGUCUGUUUAAGUUCUUCUUCAAGAGAAGAUAUUUUCAAUGAAUUUUGACUAAGCCUUUCGUGGGUUCUCUCAAGCGAGAUUCUUUCCUUCUCUAAUUUCUUGUUAAGCGAUUCGACAGAAGCUCGAACAUCAACAAGACCAUUAGUAGUUCUUGUUAGGUUCAACUUGGCCAGCUUCAAUUCAAUUAGUAUCCUUCCUAAAUACUUAUAUCUGAAAUAGUUUUUAUAGAUGUGGUAUGAAUAUCUGCUCUUUAACUUAUUUCUUAAACAUAUCCAUCAUCGUCAAGAUUAAAUGCUUCCAAUUAGUUCUAAAAUGAUACAGUAGUGAAUUAUUUUGGCAGAUUCAAGGACCAAUUUGAGAUAUUUGAUCUUUCAGAACUAUUUUGACUAUUAAUACUAUUUUUUAAGGAUAUAGUCAAGUGAGGAAUUCAAUGGUAUAACACCCCUUUUCCAUAUACUGUUGCUCUUAGGUGAUGGCCAUACUUGCAGAUUUCAUAUUGGUUUAUCUUCCUGCACCUACCAUAUUUUUUAGACCGCCGCCUGCAAUCAAUGCAGGCCCCAUUGCUAAGUUCUUCCACAACUGCCCGAAUAAUGCAUUCCAGGUUGCUCUCUCUGGGACAUCAUAUUCUUUGUUACAGAGGUUUAUUCAUCUAAUACAAAUAGAUUUAUAUCCCUAGUUAUUCAUCUCACAUUCAAAUUCUCAUUACUUAAUAUUUUUGUAUUAUUACAUGUUGUAUAUCAAUGAAAUGUUUUGCUGAGACACCAAAUAAAAAGAACAAAAUAACUAUAGUAGGCAUCUAUCUCCUAAACUUGUUGAGUAAGCAUUUUCAAGAACGUAUGGUGUAUGAUAUUCAUGAGUACUUUUUUCCUGGACUGAUUUAUUGUUCACUUUUGGUUUUUCUUUAGAUUGCUGAACCACUAGAAAAAUGGCUUACUGAGGACAUAGAGAAUGGUGUUGUUAAUAAUGACUAGAAUCAGAAAAAAUUAGGUGAAUUCUUUCAGACUAAAUAUGAUUGGGAUCUCCUUGCUGCAUGGUCAAUCUAGGCAUUUGUCCCUGAUAAGCAGAUUUUAGUGGGGUGCAUGACAGGGACCUCUAUGUGAUAAACCCAUCAGAAAUGUUAAAUUCAAGAUUGUUGAUGCAAGAAUUGCUCUUAAGUCACUUCAUAGGGGAUCUGGCCAGUUAAUUCCAACAGCACGACAAGUAGCCUACUCUUCCUUCCUUAUGGCUGCCCCUCGGCUUAUGGAACCAGUAUAUUAUAUGGAGACUGAUUUGGAAGAAGAAAAAGCACAUGAAAUCACCAAGUUACAGGAUGCUUUGCAUGCAAUGCAAAUACAGGUAGAUGAAGCAAAUGCCAGAGCAGUUAAAGAGCGUGAGACAGCACAGAAAGCCACUGAAGAAGCACCACCAAUUAUUAAGGAGACUCCUGUUCUAGUUCAAGACUCAGCAAAGAUUAAAGAAGCACCACCAGGUUCUUUCUCUUUUUCUCCUAUUAAACUUGCAUCCCCAAAUUGAAAGUCACUAAAACUAGACCAGAUGUUAAGGUGAGCUUCACUUGUGAAUUUGUUACUUGAGAUGAGGAAUGCACUGUAUAUAGAUUAUGUUGUCACUAUUUUUUUAUUUUUGUCAGAAUUUGAUACUUGAGAAACAGAUGAGAAAUGAAAAAAUAUAAAGAGGCAGAAAAGCCUGAGGCAGGGGAUCAAUUUAGAUGAAGUUCCAAUUUUAGAACCUGAUUAAGCAACCUUAUUGUAUAUUUUGACUUAAUUAGAGGACAAUAGUUGAUGUAUCAAUAUACUUUGUUGAUGUAUGGUUGUUACUUAUUAUUAUAGUUGAUGUAUCAAUAUACUUUAUUUAUAUUUUGAAUUAUA